AAACUCAAAGGAAUUGACGGGGGCCCGCACAAGCGGUGGAGCAUGUGGUUUAAUUCGAUGAUACGCGAGGAACCUUACCAGGGCUUGACAUAUAUAGGAUAUAGUUAGAGAUAAUUAUUCCCCGUUUGGGGUCUAUAUACAGGUGCUGCAUGGUUGUCGUCAGCUCGUGCUGUGAGGUGUUGGGUUAAGUCCCGCAACGAGCGCAACCCUUGUUAUCUGUUACCAGCAUGUAAUGGUGGGG
Molecule: ribosomal RNA, 241 nt
Filed under: uncultured Borrelia sp.
Lineage: Bacteria; Pseudomonadati; Spirochaetota; Spirochaetia; Spirochaetales; Borreliaceae
Description: partial 16S ribosomal RNA
Rfam family: Bacterial small subunit ribosomal RNA
Source: RNAcentral